CCCCAUGUUCAUUCACCACCUUGUCCGCAUCCAUUUGGUAACUCCUAAUCGCCUUGGUAGAAACACUAUUACUACUUUAUCCCGCGCAUAAAAUAAGAAGAAACGGCUGUUGGAAGAGUGCCAGGUCCAGGCGGAGGUGAAAUGUUUGCUCGCGUAUCUUAUUACGAGGAUGCGAAGUUAUACGAAAAUUAAUAAAGAUAUCGGAGAUC
This 209-nucleotide long non-coding RNA is filed under the name Elaeis guineensis (African oil palm). RNAcentral describes it as "long non-coding RNA (EGUI_LNC031005)". Lineage: Eukaryota; Viridiplantae; Streptophyta; Magnoliopsida; Arecales; Arecaceae. The record is from RNAcentral.